Molecule: ribosomal RNA, 472 nt
Filed under: uncultured bacterium
Lineage: Bacteria
Description: SSU rRNA
Rfam family: Bacterial small subunit ribosomal RNA
Source: RNAcentral
AGGACGAACGCUGGCGGCGUGCUUAACACAUGCAAGUCGAGCGGAAAGGCCCUUCGGGGUACUCGAGCGGCGAACGGGUGAGUAACACGUGAGCAACCUGCCCUUAGCUUCGGGAUAGCUCCGGGAAACCGGAAUUAAUACCGGAUAUGACUAUGGCCGACAUCAGCCAUGGUGGAAAGUUUUUCGGCUAGGGAUGGACUCGCGGCCUAUCAGCUAGUUGGUGAGGUAACGGCUCACCAAGGCGACGACGGGUAGCCGGCCUGAGAGGGCGACCGGCCACACUGGGACUGAGACACGGCCCAGACUCCUACGGGAGGCAGCAGUGGGGAAUAUUGCGCAAUGGGCGAAAGCCUGACGCAGCGACGCCGCGUGGGGAUGAAUGCCUUCGGGUUGUAAACCCUUUCAGCAGGGACGAAGCGAAAGUGACGGUACCUGCAGAAGAAGCGCCGGCUAACUACGUGCCAGCAGCCGC